Long non-coding RNA from Silurus meridionalis, 2731 nucleotides. RefSeq lists it as uncharacterized. Lineage: Eukaryota; Metazoa; Chordata; Actinopteri; Siluriformes; Siluridae. The transcript is spliced from 3 exons. The record is from RefSeq and is a predicted model, not a curated record.
UAGAGAGAGAUCAGGAGAAAAAAGACAUAUAUAUAUGAGAAAGAGACAGAUGAUAAGAGAGACAAAUGGAUAGAGAGAUGAAGAGAGAGAUGGAGAGAAAAAAGAGAUACAGAAAAAGACAAAUGAAGCUACAGUUGGAAUCACUGUUAUUAUUAUGACACAGUCAUCACAUAUUUCCUUUUUCCUGGCUGGUUUUCUCUCAGAUCUCUGGACCUGCAGUCUGAUGGGUUCGUGGGCCUCUGCCCUGCUCCGUGUCUGUAAUCGAUCCUGUGCUGGAAAACUUCUAAUUCUCACCUGAUAGCAGCCUUGAAGUUCAAAUUAGACCAAAACUCUACCCGUCUGGAGUCUGAGAAACCUCCCGGCACCACAAGGAACAUCACACACAUGUAAUAACCAUCUGUGUGUCCUUCAGAUGCAGGAAAAUGAUGUGAUGAAGAACCACCAGAGACGAGUUGGGCCAAGGGGAACAUCACAGAGGGGCGCUUAAAUUUUCACCCCAAAGAGAUGAAAUUGAACGGAAAUGAUCCAGACCCCAGCUGAAACGUUCACGGCGCUGAACUGCGAUUAAACUGCGGUUAAUCGCCGAGCCGGUGAUGGAGGGAGAAUCGGACGAGGCCGAGCUUUAAUGGAGAAAUGCAUUACAACCGUAACCGGAUUAGACUGGCCGUAAUCCAAUCACUCGGACCCGUGAUCGUUUGCUUUGCGUCACCGAUCAGACACGAUUUCCUGGAGAGUUAAAACGAAGCAGCGUUUCUGCUGGACCAGAUUAAACUCUAAACACACCGAGGACCAGAGGGAGAUCCGGAGAAAUGACACGAUACACUAGCUUUCCAAAAGGGAACAACUGAAGUUGCUAUGGAGACCGUUUGCCUGUACAUAAUCCCUUUUUUUAAAAUAAUAAAUUAUUUUGACGAGUUCAGGCAAUAUUUAUAAAAUUUUAUUGAUUUAUUUAAAAUAAAUUAUUGCUUCUUGGUAAACUUUGCUGCAAUUUUCCACUGUAACUAACAACAUGAUUGAGUAUUUAGCAUACAAUUAAUUAGCAAUCACGUUAAACACAGUUAAUUAGCAUCCAUGCUAGCAAUGUGACAACAUUACAGGAAUGCUAAUAAUCGAUAUCAUUUAGUUUGGAUAUUGAUGAAUUGGUUUAUCAGGAUCACAUAACAAAAAAUCAAAAACUCAAACACGAGGUGAGGUGUGAGGUGUGAGGUGAGCUUUAAAUACCUGUGUUAAUUAAAGAACGAUGAGUGACAUGCGAUGAGGUCAUGUGACAUGCAGGGACUGAUGGUAGGCGUAGUCCUGUUUAAAAUAACAUAAACAGUCAGUUAUAAUUACACAUGAUAAUGUGAUUUUCCACAAUAAAUACUGAAGGAUUUUUCUUGGUCCUGAACCAAAGUUUUGGCACCCACACUGGACAGAAUCUAGCUGUUGGUUUUGUUUAGUAGCGACCACAUCAAAGGUAUAAUAAUAAUAAUAAUAAUAAUAAUAAUAAUAAUAAUAAUAAUAAUAUAGAAAGUUUGAACUCCGGCGUCUGUAAUCCAAUAUUCUUCAUCAUCGUCUCAUAAACAACUUUUCUUCCUCGCAGUUAUAGGAGAAUAUUACCCAUAAUGCAACACAAUUGCAUAGGUCAUUAUGCUUUUUUUUCCUCUCUGAUGGACUUUAAUUCAAAUCAAAUCAGCUCCCUUUUCAUAAAGACACAAUCCCGGUGUGACGGAGAGAAGAUCGAGCGACGGCUAAAAGUAGCAGGCUAAUUAAGAUCGACCUUUCACUAAUGCUCUGAGAAAAAAAAAGAAGGACCUCGUGAUUAGCGCUUUUAUUCCCUUUCACAUGUUCAAUGACACCCUCUUAUCCCUCAGGUUUCUCUCUUUGUAUCAGAUGGAGCAAUUAUCCGCUGUUCCAUUAGGUGGGAACGUCCCUUUAAUUCACUCUGCGCCGGAUCGUGAGCUCGAGGCCGCUGUGCAUUUUGUUCUCGUCAUGGACACAUACGAGAGAGAGAGAGAGAGAGAGAGAGAAAGAGAGAGACGAACCUGAGAAAUGAUCAGAUCACCAACAUCUGAAGUGCUCUAUCACAUCCGCCCACCUCCUCACCGAUGCCCAGAGCACUAAUGCAGUCUCUCUGCACGCAGCAGCGACGCCUUUCAGGAGAAAAUGCUCCUCUAAUGUUCUGCAGAUCUGCAUUAUUAUAAUUAGGACACGUCAGUUAGGAAUAAUAAGAGCAUCUGAUGCUCCUGUAGGACUUUCUUUUCGUAAUAAAGAGCAGGAGAAGUGUGUAGCGCUCCAUUUUGCUGAAAAUGGCUCGUUAUUAAAGGAGAUGUGUUUAAGAGCAGAAAAGAAGAAACGGGGACUUACGCUUUUCCUUUUCUCCUCCGAUGCUCAUUCACUCACAGGACACGAAAUUUAUCUAAAGGUUCAGAGGCCUUUUUUUUACACUGUACUUUUAUCAGUUUAUAAUUGAAAGCUUUUUAUAAAGUUUUUUUUGAAGCCCUGUCAUUUACAGUUCUGUAACCGAACUUGUAACAAUGGUGUAACGAAUCUUUUUAACUUUUUAAUAGGAUAAAAAAAAAACCUUUUUUACAGCCUUUUAAAUUUUAGUUUCAACUUUUGUGUGUGUUUAAUUUGUUAAAACAUUUGUAAAACAUUAUUUAAAGUUUGUUACAGUGUUAUAUGUUUUUUAGACGUUUUGGAACAUUUUAUAAAAUUCAUUGUCUUAAUAGCAGAUUCGAAGGAACUUUUC